GGAGGGGUGGCCGAGCGGCCAAUGGCGGUGGUCUUGAAAACCACUGACGGGAAACCGUCCGGGGGUUCGAAUCCCUCCCCCUCCGCCA
RNAcentral lists this transfer RNA (88 nucleotides) under Desulfovibrio sp. Its description in RNAcentral is "tRNA-Ser". It matches the Rfam family "tRNA". Rfam says of the family: Transfer RNA (tRNA) molecules are approximately 80 nucleotides in length. Their secondary structure includes four short double-helical elements and three loops (D, anti-codon, and T loops). Further hydrogen bonds mediate the characteristic L-shaped molecular structure. tRNAs have two regions of fundamental functional importance: the anti-codon, which is responsible for specific mRNA codon recognition, and the 3' end, to which the tRNAs corresponding amino acid is attached (by aminoacyl-tRNA synthetases). tRNAs cope with the degeneracy of the genetic code in two manners: having more than one tRNA (with a specific anti-codon) for a particular amino acid; and 'wobble' base-pairing, i.e. permitting non-standard base-pairing at the 3rd anti-codon position. The record is from RNAcentral. Lineage: Bacteria; Pseudomonadati; Thermodesulfobacteriota; Desulfovibrionia; Desulfovibrionales; Desulfovibrionaceae.